UACAGAGGGUGCGAGCGUUGUCCGGAAUCACUGGGCGUAAAGGGCGCGUAGGCGGCCUGAUAAGUAGGGGGUGAAAUCCUGUGGCUUAACUGCAGGGCUGCCUCCUAGACUGUUAGGCUCGAGCACGGUAGAGGCAGAUGGAAUUCCCGGUGUAGCGGUGGAAUGCGUAGAGAUCGGGAAGAACAUCGGUGGCGAAGGCAGCUCGCUGGGACGGUACUGACGCUGAGGCGCGAAAGCGUGGGGAGCAAACAGG
Molecule: ribosomal RNA, 253 nt
Filed under: uncultured bacterium
Lineage: Bacteria
Description: partial 16S ribosomal RNA
Rfam family: Bacterial small subunit ribosomal RNA
Source: RNAcentral